UACGGAAGGCAGCAGUGGGGAAUAUUGCACAAUGGGCGCAAGCCUGAUGCAGCCAUGCCGCGUGUAUGAAGAAGGCCUUCGGGUUGUAAAGUACUUUCAGUCGUGAGGAAGGUGUUAAGGUUAAUAACCUUAGCAAUUGACGUUAGCGACAGAAGAAGCACCGGCUAACUCCGUGCCAGCAGCCGCGGUAAUACGGAGGGUGCGAGCGUUAAUCGGAAUUACUGGGCGUAAAGGGCACGCAGGCGGUUAAUUAAGUUGGAUGUGAAAUCCCCGGGCUUAACCUGGGAAUGGCAUUCAAGACUGGUUAGCUAGAGUCUUGUAGAGGGGGUAGAAUUCCAUGUGUAGCGGUGAAAUGCGUAGAGAUGUGGAGGAAAUACCGGUGGCGAAAGGCGGCCCCUGGACAAAGACUGACGCUCAUGUGCGAAAAGCGUGGGGAGCAAAAC
Molecule: ribosomal RNA, 443 nt
Filed under: uncultured bacterium
Lineage: Bacteria
Description: bacterial SSU rRNA
Rfam family: Bacterial small subunit ribosomal RNA
Source: RNAcentral